GCGGCACGGACGCGUUCCUGCUCGCUCCGUUGCACCGGAAUUUCGACGGCUGGGUUCGGCCGCUAAAUUGAUGGCGCUACCGGAAGAAAUUUCACAAAAAAAGGGUGGCUUUUUCGUCGAUCUCUUUGUGAGAGUAUCAAAUCAGGCGGCGGUAAAUACGUAGAAGCAACUAGGCGUACUACGGCGUGUACCGGACAGCGUUGGCGUGCCGCUCUGCUAGCAGCGGAGAGCCAGAUGAGGAUGCCCGUGAUAUGAGAAAAGCUCUGUCCAGAGAUAUGGAGAUGAAAUCAGUUGUACCUCACCCUGUGACACCGGAAGACAUUGAGUAACUCGUCCUGCAGCUGGCUCCUCGGUUUUGGCGGCAGCCUGCACAUAGCAGCCCAGCUCUCCAGCAGCCUGACGGACCGACCGUGUGUCUGUUCCACGCCGGACUGGCGAGCGUGGCUCUGGGUAGGACAGCCGAGGCGCCCCAGGGCCGGGCCCCGGUGCGGAGUCUCUCCCGGGACCGGCUCUGUGUGUGACUGAAUAAACGCUUGCGGUCUCUUUUGCCGUG
Grus americana (Whooping crane) is the source of this 553-nucleotide long non-coding RNA. RefSeq lists it as uncharacterized. The record is from RefSeq and is a predicted model, not a curated record. The transcript is spliced from 4 exons. NCBI's taxonomy places the organism in Eukaryota, Metazoa, Chordata, Aves, Gruiformes, Gruidae.